RNAcentral lists this ribosomal RNA (938 nucleotides) under Trametes versicolor. RNAcentral describes it as "LSU rRNA". It matches the Rfam family "Eukaryotic large subunit ribosomal RNA", at positions 38 to 963 of the family's 3401-position model. The record is from RNAcentral. Lineage: Eukaryota; Fungi; Basidiomycota; Agaricomycetes; Polyporales; Polyporaceae.
GCAUAUCAAUAAGCGGAGGAAAAGAAACUAACAAGGAUUCCCCUAGUAACUGCGAGUGAAGCGGGAAAAGCUCAAAUUUAAAAUCUGGCGGUCUUUGGCCGUCCGAGUUGUAGUCUGGAGAAGCGUCUUCCGCGUUGGACCGUGUACAAGUCUCUUGGAACAGAGCGUCAUAGAGGGUGAGAAUCCCGUCUUUGACACGGACUACCAAUGCUUUGUGAUGCGCUCUCAAAGAGUCGCGUUGUUUGGGAAUGCAGCGCAAAAUGGGAGGUGAAUUCCUUCUAAAGCUAAAUAUUGGCGAGAGACCGAUAGCGAACAAGUACCGUGAGGGAAAGAUGAAAAGCACUUUGGAAAGAGAGUUAAACAGUACGUGAAAUUGCUAAAAGGGAAACGCUUGAAGUCAGUCGCGUCGUCCGGAACUCAGCUUUGCUUCGGCUUAGUGCACUUUCCGGUUGACGGGCCAGCAUCGAUUUUGACCGCUGGAAAAGGGCUGGAGGAAUGUGGCACCUUCGGGUGUGUUAUAGCCUUCAGUCGCAUACAGCGGUUGGGAUCGAGGAACGCAGCGCGCCUUAUGGCUGGGGUUCGCCCACAUUCGCGCUUAGGAUGCUGGCAUAAUGGCUUUAAACGACCCGUCUUGAAACACGGACCAAGGAGUCUAACAUGCCUGCGAGUGUUUGGGUGGAAAACCCGAGCGCGUAAUGAAAGUGAAAGUUGAGACCUCUGUCGUGGAGGGCAUCGACGCCCGGACCUGACGUUUUCUGAAGGAUCCGCGGUAGAGCAUGUAUGUUGGGACCCGAAAGAUGGUGAACUAUGCCUGAAUAGGGUGAAGCCAGAGGAAACUCUGGUGGAGGCUCGUAGCGAUUCUGACGUGCAAAUCGAUCGUCAAAUUUGGGUAUAGGGGCGAAAGACUAAUCGAACCAUCUAGUAGCUGGUUCCUGCCG